This 468-nucleotide ribosomal RNA is filed under the name uncultured bacterium. RNAcentral's name for it is "partial 16S ribosomal RNA". It matches the Rfam family "Bacterial small subunit ribosomal RNA", at positions 28 to 507 of the family's 1533-position model. The record is from RNAcentral.
GACGAACGCUGGCGGCGUGCUUAACACAUGCAAGUCGAACGGAAAGGCCCUGCUUUUGUGGGGUGCUCGAGUGGCGAACGGGUGAGUAACACGUGAGUAACCUGCCCUUGACUUUGGGAUAACUUCAGGAAACUGGGGCUAAUACCGGAUAGGAGCUCCUGCUGCAUGGUGGGGGUUGGAAAGUUUCGGCGGUUGGGGAUGGACUCGCGGCUUAUCAGCUUGUUGGUGGGGUAGUGGCUUACCAAGGCUUUGACGGGUAGCCGGCCUGAGAGGGUGACCGGCCACAUUGGGACUGAGAUACGGCCCAGACUCCUACGGGAGGCAGCAGUGGGGAAUAUUGCACAAUGGGCGGAAGCCUGAUGCAGCAACGCCGCGUGCGGGAUGACGGCCUUCGGGUUGUAAACCGCUUUCGCCUGUGACGAAGCGUGAGUGGCGGUAAUGGGUAAAGAAGCACCGGCCAACUACGUG